CCUACGGGAGGCACCAGUGGGGAAUAUUGCACAAUGGGCGCAAGCCUGACGCAGCCAUGCCGCGUGUGUGAAGAAGGCCUUCGGGUUGUAAAGCACUUUCAGCGGGGAGGAAGGCGUUAAGGUUAAUAACCUUGGCGAUUGACGUUACCCGCAGAAGAAGCACCGGCUAACUCCGUGCCAGCAGCCGCGGUAAUACGGAGGUUGCAAGCGUUAAUCGGAAUUACUGGGCGUAAAGCGCACGCAGGCGGUCUGUCAAGUCGGAUGUGAAAUCCCCGGGCUCAACCUGGGAACUGCAUUCGAAACUGGCAGGCUGGAGUCUUGUAGAGGGGGGUAGAAUUCCAGGUGUAGCGGUGAAAUGCGUAGAGAUCUGGAGGAAUACCGGUGGCGAAGGCGGCCCCCUGGACAAAGACUGACGCUCAGGUGCAAAAGUGUGGGGAGCAAACAGGAUUAGAUACCCCUGUAGUC
This 465-nucleotide ribosomal RNA is filed under the name uncultured bacterium. Its description in RNAcentral is "bacterial SSU rRNA". It matches the Rfam family "Bacterial small subunit ribosomal RNA", at positions 338 to 795 of the family's 1533-position model. The record is from RNAcentral.